This 454-nucleotide ribosomal RNA is filed under the name uncultured bacterium. Its description in RNAcentral is "bacterial SSU rRNA". It matches the Rfam family "Bacterial small subunit ribosomal RNA", at positions 28 to 507 of the family's 1533-position model. The record is from RNAcentral.
GAUGAACGCUGGCGGCGUGGAUAAGGCAUGCAAGUCGAGCGCUUAGACUUCGGUCUAGGAGCGGCAAACGGGUUAGUAACACGUAGGAACGUACCCCACUCACAGGGAUAAUUUCGAGAAAUCGGAACUAAUACCUGAUAGUCUCUUCGGAGUAAAGGUUUUCAAUUUAUUGGAUUCCGGAAUGGGAGCGGCCUGCGUCCUAUCAGCUUGUUGGUGAGGUAAUGGCUCACCAAGGCUAUGACGGGUAGGGGACGUGAGAGCGUGACCCCCAACAUUGGCACUGAGACACUGGCCAAACACCUACGGGUGGCUGCAGUCGAGAAUAUUUGACAAUGCACGAAAGUGUGAUCAAGCGACGCCGCGUGCGGGAUGACGGCCUUCGGGUUGUAACCGCUUUUAUCAGGGAAAAAUUUCGAUGAUGGUACCUGAUGAAUAAGGAGUUGCUAACUCCGUG